RNAcentral lists this ribosomal RNA (795 nucleotides) under uncultured archaeon. RNAcentral describes it as "bacterial SSU rRNA". It matches the Rfam family "Archaeal small subunit ribosomal RNA", at positions 1 to 767 of the family's 1478-position model. The record is from RNAcentral.
UUCGCCCUUUUCCGGUUGAUCCUGCCGGACCCUACUGCUAUCGGGGUGGGACUAAGACAUGCGAGUCGAGCGUCUCUAGCUAUGUUGAGACGCGGCAGACGGCUCAGUAACACGUGGCUAACCUACCCUCAGGACGGGGACAAACCCGGGAAACUGGGGCUAAUAUCCGAUAGGCGAGGAUGCCUGGAAUGGUUUCUCGCUCAAAGGAUCUUGGAAACAUGCUUCCAAGUCGCCUGAGGAUGGGGCCGCGUCCGAUCAGGUUGUUGGUGAGGUAACGGCUCACCAAGCCUAUAACCGGUACGGGCCAUGAGAGUGGUAGCCCGGAGAUGGGUACUGAGACAAGGACCCAGGCCCUACGGGGCGCAGCAGUCGCGAAAACUCCGCGAUGCACGCAAGUGUGACGGGGCUACCCCGAGUGCCGUCCGCUGAGGAUGGCUUUUCCUUGGUGUAACUAGCCAGGGGAAUAAGGAGAGGGCAAGACUGGUGUCAGCCGCCGCGGUAAUACCAGCUCUCCGAGUGGUAGGGAUGAUUAUUGGGCUUAAAGCGUCCGUAGCCGGCUUAACAAGUUUCCUGUUAAAUUCAGCGACCUAAUCGUUGAGCCGCGGGAAAUACUACUAGGCUAGGAGGCGGGAGAGGUCAACGGUACUUCCGGGGUAGGGGUGAAAUCCUAUAAUCCCGGGAGGACCACCAGUGGCGAAGGCUGUUGACUAGAACGCGCUCGACGGUGAGGGACGAAAGCUGGGGGAGCGAACCGGAUUAGAUACCCGGGUAGUCCCAGCUGUAAACGAUGCGAGC